This 390-nucleotide unclassified non-coding RNA is filed under the name soil metagenome. RNAcentral describes it as "partial contains 5.8S ribosomal RNA, internal transcribed spacer 2, and large subunit ribosomal RNA". The stretch from base 2 to 121 matches the Rfam family "5.8S ribosomal RNA", at positions 37 to 154 of the family's 154-position model. The record is from RNAcentral.
GUGAAGAACGCAGCGAAAUGCGAUACUUGGUGUGAAUUGCAGAAUCCCGUGAACCAUCGAGUCUUUGAACGCAAGUUGCGCCCGAAGCCAUUAGGCCGAGGGCACGCCUGCCUGGGCGUCACACGUCGUUGCCCCCCCAUCUACUCCUUCGGGAUUGCGGGGGGCGGAUGAUGGCCUCCCGUGCGCCUCGUCGCGCGGUUGGCCUAAAUGCCAAGUCCUCGGCGACGCACGCCACGACAAUCGGUGGUUGCGAAACCUCGGUUGCCCGUCGUGUGCGGUCGUCGCGCAUCGAGGGCUCGAAAAAAUUGCCGGGCUUCGGCUCGACUUUCAACGCGACCCCAGGUCAGGCGGGGUUACCCGCUGAAUUUAAGCAUAUCAAUAAGCGGAGGA